RNAcentral lists this ribosomal RNA (584 nucleotides) under uncultured bacterium. RNAcentral's name for it is "bacterial SSU rRNA". It matches the Rfam family "Bacterial small subunit ribosomal RNA", at positions 338 to 943 of the family's 1533-position model. The record is from RNAcentral.
CCUACGGGAGGCAGCAGUGGGGAAUUUUCCGCAAUGGGCGUAAGCCUGACGGAGCAAUACCGCGUGAGGGAUGAAGGCUCGUGGGUCGUAAACCUCUUUUCCCAAGGAAGAAGUUCUGACGGUACUUGGGGAAUAAGCAUCGGCUAAUUCCGUGCCAGCAGCCGCGGUAAUACGGGAGAUGCGAGCGUUAUCCGGAAUCACUGGGCGUAAAGCGUCUGUAGGUUGUUUGUUAAGUCUGUUGUUAAAAACUGAAGCUCAACUUCAGGGGUGCGGCAGAAACUGGCAAACUUGAGUAUGGUAGGGGUAGGAGGAAUUUCUAGUGUAGCGGUGAAAUGCGUAGAUAUUAGGAAGAACACCAUUAGCGAAGGCGUCCUACUGGGCCAAAACUGACACUCAGAGACGAAAGCUAGGGGAGCAAACGGGAUUAGAUACCCCGGUAGUCCUAGCCGUAAACGAUGGAUACUAGAUGUCGCGGGUUUACCUGCGGUGUCGUAGCUAACGCGUUAAGUAUCCCGCCUGGGAAGUACGCACGCAAGUGUGAACUUAAUGAAUUGACCGGNNGAGANGCAGCGACACGAGGAGAG